GUACGUUAAUCUAAUAUAAAUGCCGUGAUUGUUUAAGAAAAAAACAAAUAUUACGACGUUUCUAAUAAUAUCCUUCGUUAUAUGUUAAAUACAAAUUUUGAAAAAGUACGUUCCCCUCCUCUUAAGGCCAUUAAUUUUUUCUGAUCAACAAACAUCUAUGGUUCGAGAAAGAUUGGUAGCCCUUGAUGAAACCGUCCCAAACUUCUAGUUCUAAUUCAUCAGGUUGAAGUCCUUUUACCAUCUUUUGAUUUCAUUUAGAAAUUUCCCUUUUUGGUCCUUUAAUCCUAUGUCUUUUUUUUUCUUCAAUUUGAUUUUUCCAUUUUAGGUUUCUUCUUGUGGUGUUUUCGAUGUUCUUUGCUUCACUUUCACAAUUGAUCAUACUGUUGCUAAGAAUAGAUUCCAAGUUACUUUGAUUUCAUCUUCCGAUACGGAACCCUACUGUGUGCUAAUGGAAGAACCUUAUCGGCAGAUGUGCCCCAGUGGAGUUUAAAAGACAAUACCAUGGCGUGCUAGAAUCUUUCAUCUUUAACAGGGACAGGACAAGCCAUUUAUAUAAAAAUCUUAACGUGGGUUGGGUUCUUAACGAAUCUAGCUGCUUAUAUGUCUAUGUUCACGCCAUUGCCAACGAUCAGAAGAAUGAGUUUUAAUAUAAAAGUGGGUUUCCGUCAAAAGUAGUUUUGGUUAAUUAUUUUAAUGAAAUGCCACAAACCCCUAUCCAAAUUAUAAAAAACAUUAAUUCAUGGCCAAUGUAGAAACAAGAAAAUUGAAGUGAAUUAAACACCUUUUUCAUUCUUUUUCUUUUCUCGUGGGAAAGUGAUAAAAGUGUAUAGUAAGAUGAGGAUAAAAUUAUCAAAAGCACGAAACAGGAAUUGGAUUUCGAUGAGUGAUUCCCUACCGUUAAGAAACUAACGGAAACAUAAACAAAAACGAUAAGAAACCGUUGGAUCUAGGGACAUAUCAGCAAAUUUAAAACCUAACCUUAUCGAUAAGCACAUUGUACACUUUUGUUUUGUCCUUUUAGAGAAUGAUCUCAGCCACUCCCACUUACACCACCUUUAUAAUUGACCCCUUCAUCAUUAAGCUGCAAUUGAGAUCCCUGCCUGCCUCUCUUCUCACACUGGACAUGUACAUUUUUGCUCUCAUUUCAGUCAUAAACGACCACAUUUUUCAUUGUUCAUACUUCUUCCACCAGUUCUGGGGAACAUGAUGACACUGCAUCAGCAACAGUGAGGAAGAUCUUGUCGUUGCCGAUUAAAUUUGCAAAAUUCGACGCGUGAAGCUUGUCAAUCACCACUGGUCCAGGAUUUGCCAGAAUAAGCUGUGCAUCAAUGCAGGAAACCUCAGGUAACUGGUAAAAGCUAUUAGACUGCAUUGCUUUUAAGAUAGAUUAUAUUUGUCUAUUAGUUAUAGUCUAUAGUUAAAGGUAGAUUUUGUCGCAUCAUAUAAUUAUUUUGAGCCAUCAUUUAUUUAAUUACCUGAACAUUUUUUUUCUGAAGACUCCUGUAUAAUUCUUGAAAGGCAUGGAUGCCACUGGUAUCAAUGUCAGUUACAGCUGCACAUAGAAAAACACAGGAUAUUAGGAAAAGUGAGCUUGAACUGCAAAUAAUGGAUCCUUAAAACCAGUCUAGAAUUCUUACGUGACAUCUCAACUAUCAAAAACUGGAUUGUUGGCUGGCAUGCAGCUUUUACUUGCUCUUCUUCAUCCCUCAACCAUCUCAAAAUCCUGCAAGGAUAUCGCUGACUUUUAGCACCCUGAAAUCUAAUUGAAACCUGGCUGAUUCAGCCAAAUCCUAAAACAUUGAAACCUAUCAUAACUCUAAUAUACUAGUAUACUUUAAGGGUCUUGAUUUGAAACAUUUCACUACACAUAUUUUGAAACAAGCUCAAAUAAAUCAAGGAGUACUUAAAAAAAUGAAUUUGUACCAUCCAACACUUUUAGCCUUGUACCUAGUGAAUAUUGUUAAAUUUUACCAAGUGAAAGAAAAUCCACUUCCCCUGCUGUCUCUAAUAAUUAUAAGUUUGAUUGUUCUCUUGCAUGCAACUGCCAUUGCUAACUAUCUCCCCGCAGGAUUUACUGAAAAGUUCUAUUCUUUUAGUGAAACUCAGGAAUUUAUAUAACUUUACUAGUUUCAUGCAAAACCAGACCUUGAAAUCUGGUUCUUGGGAGAUUAGCAAUUUCCAGGAAUUGCCCUAGAUAUCUAUUAUGAGUUAUAGAAUACCUUCCUUUAAAUGAAACCUACAGACCAUAAAAAGACUAAGAAGGAUGUAUACCUCUCCUUGACAUAAUUAGAGUUGGAAAAGUAAAUAGCUGAAUCAACUCUGACGAUCAGAACCCCUGGAACUUUAGCUGCUUCUGGAUAUUGUAGGAUAUUUCGGUACACAGUAGUCCUAGGGAGCUUCCCGAGUAUAGCAGUUCGAGGCCUAGUAACUUGUAAGAGGAUUUUAGCAAAGGAUAUUGAGACCUGCAAUGAAGUCAGUGACAACAGAUUUAAAUCAAACAUAUGAAGAGUGUAUAGUUCAUCUUCAGGAAUUUUAGACAGUAGACAACAAAGUUCUUACAGCAAUUAAGAGACCUUUCUCAACUGAUGAAAAGACUACUCCAAGAAAGGCUCCCAGGCAUGCAACAAAAUCAAAUUUAUCAAUCUUCCAUAUCAAAAUUGCUGCUGGAACAUCGAAAAGCCCAACCACAGCUGAUAUAAUGAUGGCAGCGAGAAUAGCAUUUGGGGUGUACUUGAAAAGAGGUGUUAUGAAUUCUAAGGUUAGAAAUACAACACAGGACAUAAUGAUGUUAGAGACUGCGGUUUGGCAGCCAGCCAUGUAAUUAACGGCUGAUCGAGAAAAUGAACCUGCAAGUAAUGAAGGAAUAACAUCAUCAGUUAUAUACCAAUAGAAUUACGUGACUUCGUGUGUGCAUGUCUAUGUUUUCAAUAUGUCUGAUUCAUAUUGACAUAUAAAAAAAGAUCUAAUAAGCAAGCUGCAAAUGAAACAUGUCAGUCAGUUUUUUAUAUUUUCAAUGCAUGAUUUAACAUAUAGCUCAAGGAAAUGAAUUACUGAUAUUUUUAGUAGAUACAUAUGAUUUUUUUAUGAUUUUUUUUAGUUUCAGUAGUUUGAACUUUGAGUGCAAAAGUGAGUAGGUUGCCAUAAUAAACAUGUUCUAGCUUCUCACCUGUUGCCACAUAGCAGGAAGUCAUUGACCCAACAACAUUCAUUGCUCCUAGUGCCACCAUUUCUCUGUUUCCAUCUAAUUGAUAGUCUUUCAUUGAAGCAAAAGUUCUUCCAAUGGCUACAGCUUCCUGUUAAAUCGACCCACCAUAGAAGAAAAAAAUUGUAGCAUGAAAGGUCUAUUUAGAUGCAAUGUCAUAAUUAAUUUUCUUGGUCAGUGAUGAUGGAUAGAAGAAACAACAAAUUGGCUUACCGUCAAUGCUAUCAUACCAGCAACAACACCAAUCUUCAAACCUUUAAGAAGAUAUUCACCAUGGAAAUAAAUUUUAUUCACAGAUGUGGGAUUGAUUCCUUUCUCGAUGUUUUUCACCUGCAUAGAUGAAAGAAAAGUGGUGCUGCUAUAAUUACUCAUUACCAAAACUACUACAAUAUCUGCCGUCAUGGAACUAUUAAAUUACAAUAUUUUACUAAAAGAUUAUUAUAGGUUAAAGAAAAGGAGCUUACAAUCUGAACUCCUUUCUUUUCAGCAUGUGUUAUAUAAACGAAGAAGGUGGAGAGAACAACAGAUAUCAAAGGAGCUAUUGCAGGAACCCAGAAAAAUUUCUUGUUCUUUUUUCC
Molecule: long non-coding RNA, 3780 nt
Filed under: Durio zibethinus
Lineage: Eukaryota; Viridiplantae; Streptophyta; Magnoliopsida; Malvales; Malvaceae
Description: long non-coding RNA (DZIB_LNC000019)
Source: RNAcentral